Molecule: ribosomal RNA, 119 nt
Filed under: Lepisosteus oculatus (spotted gar)
Lineage: Eukaryota; Metazoa; Chordata; Actinopteri; Semionotiformes; Lepisosteidae
Source: RNAcentral
GCCAGCAGCCAUGUCCCCCUGCAACUUACAAUUAGCAACCCACUGAAGCUAAGCAGAUGUGAGCCUGGUCAGUACAUGGAUGGGAGAUCUCCUGGGAAAAACUAAGGUUGCUGCUGGAA